Erinaceus europaeus (western European hedgehog) is the source of this 137-nucleotide non-coding RNA. NCBI's taxonomy places the organism in Eukaryota, Metazoa, Chordata, Mammalia, Eulipotyphla, Erinaceidae. The record is from Rfam.
CUCUCCUACAAAGGUAUGUCUGUGGUUCCUAUCUUUGGACAUGGAAGAACUGGAGGUAAAAAAAAAAAAAAAAUGGACUUAGAGAAGUCUUGGGCCAACUCGCUCUCUGCAGGCUAACAAUCAACCUUCUCACAAAG